Molecule: ribosomal RNA, 550 nt
Filed under: uncultured Malassezia
Lineage: Eukaryota; Fungi; Basidiomycota; Malasseziomycetes; Malasseziales; Malasseziaceae
Description: eukaryotic LSU rRNA
Rfam family: Eukaryotic large subunit ribosomal RNA
Source: RNAcentral
CGGCCGCGUCGACCCGAUAGCGAACAAGUACCGUGAGGGAAAGAUGAAAAGCACUUUGGAAAGGGAGUUAAAAGUACGUGAAAUUGUCGAAAGGGAAGCACUUGAAGUCAGCCAUGCUGCUUGAGACUCAGCCUGGCUUUUGCUUGGUGUAUUUCUCGGUAGCAAGCCAGCAUUGGUUUGUGUCGUCGGAGAAGCGUAUGGGGAAUGUGGCAUCCUCGGAUGUGUUAUAGCCCUGUGCAGGAUACGACGACGUAGACCAAGGAACGCAGUGUGCCCCUCUGGGCGGGUCUUCGGACACCUUCACACUUAGGAUGCUGGCGUAAUGGCUUUAAGUGGCCCGUCUUGUAACACGGACCAAGGAGUCUAACAUGUGUGCGAAGUUUCGGGUAGGACAAACCCAGUGAGCGUAAAUGAAAGUGAAUGGCAGGUGGGACUCCGCAAAGGAGCACCAUCGACCGCCUGAUGUUCUCGGAUGGGUACUGACGUAAGAGACAUAUAUAGGUUACGGGAACCCGAAAGUAGUAGGUAGAACUAGUCGACCUAGAAACGG